UCAUCCUCAUCCUAAUCCUCUUCCUCAUCCUCGUUCUUGAGGAUGAGGAAGAGGAUGAGAUAGGAUGACGAUGA
RNAcentral lists this microRNA precursor (74 nucleotides) under Lupinus angustifolius (narrow-leaved blue lupine). Its description in RNAcentral is "pre miRNA MIR1446". Lineage: Eukaryota; Viridiplantae; Streptophyta; Magnoliopsida; Fabales; Fabaceae. The record is from RNAcentral.